This 497-nucleotide ribosomal RNA is filed under the name uncultured bacterium. Its description in RNAcentral is "partial 16S ribosomal RNA". It matches the Rfam family "Bacterial small subunit ribosomal RNA", at positions 28 to 507 of the family's 1533-position model. The record is from RNAcentral.
GAUGAACGCUGGCGGCGUGCCUAAUACAUGCAAGUCGAGCGAACAGAUGAGGAGCUUGCUCCUCUUACGUUAGCGGCGGACGGGUGAGUAACACGUGGAUAACCUACCUAUAAAACUGGGAUAACUUCGGGAAACCGGAGCUAAUAACGGAUAAUAUAUUUAACCGCAUGGUUCAAUAGUGAAAGACGGUUUUGCUGUCACUUAUAGAUGGAUCCGCGCCGCAUUAGCUAGUUGGUAAGGUAACGGCUUACCAAGGCGACGAUGCGUAGCCGACCUGAGAGGGUGAUCGGCCACACUGGAACUGAGACACGGUCCAGACUCCUACGGGAGGCAGCAGUAGGGAAUCUUCCGCAAUGGGCGAAAGCCUGACGGAGCAACGCCGCGUGAGUGAUGAAGGUCUUCGGAUCGUAAAACUCUGUUAUUAGGGAAGAACAAAUGUGUAAGUAACUAUGCACGUCUUGACGGUACCUAAUCAGAAAGCCACGGCUAACUACGUG